GGGGAUUUUAUCACUUCCACCUUGCUAAACACAUUUCUAUCUGCCUCAGUAGGACAGGUCAGAUCUGCUCCACUGCAUUGGAAGCAUUGGUUACCCAGGCGUCUGUAUGGUCUGCAUCUGUAGUUAAGUGUAUUAGUCAACUAUAGUUAAAACAUCACUGAGGCUCUGACUUAAGUCAGUACCACAAACAAAUACAUUAUUUUCAGUGUGUGCCAUUAAGGAUACCAUACAUGUUUUAUGUUGACAGUUUCUUUAAAGAUAUUUUGCCUUGCUCAGAGCUUCAGAAUCAACUUUGUUGAAAACUUCACAUAGUUACUUAGCAGCAGGGUUUUCUUUUCACUUUGCAUCUGUGCUUUGUAUAUUGACUGAACUCCACCCAUUUCCACAAUGAAGUGUAGGUCACUGCUUUUUUUUUUUCUUUUUCCUUAAGCAGCUGUCCUCCUGGCAGUCAUUGUGGUGAACUUUUUCCUGGUUUAGUUCAGUCCCUGUAAAGGACUGAGCCAAGAACUUUGUCAUAUAGACCCAUUAGUAAUCAUCUGUUUCUCAGGCUAAUGGACUCAGUCUUCUGUCAUGUGCUUUGACUGGAAACUCCCAAAGCCACGCCUGAAGGUUCAGCUCCAUGUAACAUCUGUUCUGGGAUGGUGCUGCAACUGCUGUCCUAAACUGCUCUUGUAUGUGAUGUUAAACAGCUGCUCAAUUUCACCCUAGAGGCUUGCAUGGACAGAUACAUCCGCAGAAUGAACCAGACAGGGCAAAAAAAAAUCGUUAAUUUGAUACUUAAAGAAAUUUUUUUUAAAUUGCAAAAAAAUAUAAUUUACCCAAUAUGCACAUGAGUGAACUCAGCUAUACUGGGUCAUUUAUUGUCACACUUCAUAAGAUCUUUUGAAUUGUAAUUGGGUGCUCCUAGUCUUGCUCCACAGUAAGUGGCCCUUUUAGAGCCAUGAUAAAUUCUACUAAGCAUUCUCUCCCUCUAGAGGAAUAUUUCUCUAUAUUCACUUCACAUAACAUGGCCUCUUUCCUGAUUACAAACAUAAUUCAAGUCAAACCAGUUUGGUAGUGAGUCUUCUUUAAACAAACUUUCUUUUUAUUUCCCUGGUCUUAAAGUCUGUUCACUGUCUCUUUAUUUUCUUUGCUCUUUUGUAUGUAGCUAAGAUUUAUAAGGACUGUUGUCACACAUUAUACAUUUUCUUACAUCAAACUUCUUAGUCUCAAGAUCUUGGAACACAGAAUUUACAAUGACCAUAAAAUAUAACCCCCCAAAAAUACAGCCCACCUUUGCAAAUGUUCUGAGUUUGACGCAGAAAACUAGUGGAAUUAAAGGCUUUUACCAUUACUCUCCAUGCACAAAACCAGCUCCUGCCUACCAUUAAAAUGUGAGAGGAGUUUACAUCAGCUCUCUUUUUGGAAGUCAGAGGAAAUUCUCACCACUGUAAGAGUCUUCGUCUGUACUUUUAUAGUGAGCCAAACUGGCUUGAGAUCACAAAAACUUUCAUCUUCAGGAGUAUCCAAGCACAGCUCUCCCAUACUUAUGCUUAGACCCAUGUCUAAGAGAGCUGCACUUCUUCAGAAAGCAUAAUGGAAUAUUCUAAACAAAAUGUGAAAACCUGUUCUACGUAAACCUAAUUAACCAUUUUCAGAUGAAUAAACAGUAGUUUUACAGCCCUUCCUAUGAAAACUUAUAAUAUCAUAAUUAAUUCCAUGUUUAAUAUAAAAAUGACUGUUUUAUGGAGUUGCUUUGAGGGCUACAUAGCAAAAUAUACCACAUGCAGUUUUCCUACUCCGUAUGCUACAAGAUUUGCAUGGGAAUGACAUCACACUAAAUAAGAGGACAGGUCAUCUAUCAUCUGGACAAUGUGUGCUAAAUAAUGAUGAACACAGUACACUGCAUAUAAUUUCCUCUUUCACAUCCACACCCCCAAAGCUUCUUUUUGUUCACAUUUUCCCUAAUUGGUCGUCUCAGCCUGAAGCAUCACCUUUUCAGCCUGUGAAAGGUAAGAAAGUGAAAAUCAGAACAUGGUUUUCUUAGGAUGUCUUCCAAGUUCAUGUUACUUGUGUGAGGUAUGUUUCCCACUGUUACUUGCAUGCUGGAUGAGAUCUUAAUUGAUCUCUUGUUCUUUCUUUUCUGGGCAGAAUGAAGUCUUUGAAGAUGAAUACUGGCUCAUAAGCUAAAUGCUUUCAGCUGUUGCUGCUGAACAUAACAAUUCCUAAGAAGAUUUUUGUCAGUUGCUUGGAGAUUUCCCUGUUUUUAUGGAGAAGGUUGUAGUUUAACCCUUUAACUUUUACUGGAAAACAUUAAAAGUUGCACCAUAUGUCUACUGUAGAAGUUUAACAGCUGGAGAACGGAUGGAUGCUUUAGGAGGACAAAGUAGCUAGAUAUGUGAACACAUGGUCAGAUGUAUAAUUUAGUAUGGUGUCUUUUUUAGGAGAUUAUAUUUGUUUAUCUAAUUGGUUUGCCCUUUACUUACAAACUGCAAAUGAACAAACAUAAACAAAUAUUACUGUGUGCAUAUAUGCAUAUAUAUAUUUAUAUAUAUUGUAGCUAGGUUGCAGGACAAGACCAACAUGUAGCAUGCUGACACAACACAAGGAAAUAUCUCUUUUUCACAGAAAGCCAUUUCAAGCCUUUUCUUUCCUUUUCUCCUUUGCACAGAAAAGUGACAUGCUACACGGUGCAGCUGGCAGAUUGUCUUGGCUUGAUAGUGCAUAAUCAGAGCCUUGUGAAAUGGUGUAGUUGGAAAUCUCCCAGUAAAUAAAAUACACUGAAUGAAAAGCAUACGCACAGUGGAGUGAGAAGAAAUACAUUUGGGAGUUAGGCACGUCUGGGCUGAAAUCCUGCCAUAGCAGAGCUCUGUUUUUCACUUUUUGCAGAGAAUCAAGGCGUAGCAUUCUCAAUCUCUGUAUUAACAGAGGCUUUCUUUAAGGGAUACUUUUAGUAUGGGCAAUACUUCAAGUUAACAGAUAGCUUCCUGUGUAUCUAAUUCACUAUUCUAUCACCAUUGUGCCUUCCACCCUUCUGCCACACUUCUUGAACCACACAACUGACCAUUGGCCUCUACUGCUCAGCAGAAGACCCAGACUAAUUCAAUUAGAUAAUUUCAAUUACUUAUCCAUCUUUUCUAUCUGUCUCCCAAACUUUCAACAAAUGCCUCCCCCCAAAACAUACAUACACACACACACUUAAUAUAUUCCACUAAUCCUCUUCACAAAUAUACAG
Non-coding RNA from Coturnix japonica (Japanese quail), 3214 nucleotides. Lineage: Eukaryota; Metazoa; Chordata; Aves; Galliformes; Phasianidae. The record is from RefSeq and is a predicted model, not a curated record.